UGAGAGGCCAGCAGCAUUCAGUAGCAGUCUUGUUGCAGAGACACAGGAGACCAGAAGUUUCUCUGGCCCUUGUACAAUGAGCACAGAGUCAGCUUCUGCUGGAACUGUUGUUGAUGGGUUAGGUCUUCACAGAGAAUUUCCUGGAAGAGAAUACUCACUGUUUUCUUCUUCCUGCCCAUGGACUUUAGAUACCAGCUUGAAGAAUAACUUGAGUGAGAUGCAGCAGGAGUUGGAAGAAAUAACUUCAGGACUAGAAGUAGAUGCUGCUGGAUACAGUCCUCUAGAAGAGUUUCUCCUCUAGGAUACAUUAAUGAGUCAAGUCUAAAUGAAUAUAUUCUUUGGAAGGCAUCUCAACAAUAUAUGCCAAUUUUUUUUUAAAUUAUAUGAUGUGAAAGACUUUUAAUUGGAUCUUGCCAAUGAAAGCCAAUUUUAUAUCCUCAAACUGUCAAAGUAUUUAGAUCCUGUGUGUUUUGACAAGUGUAUCACAGAAGUGGUCCUGUGGAUCUUCUCUUUGCAUCCUAACAUGGGAUCUACAUCUGAUUUGUCUUAUUCCUGAUGAUGUUAGCAUUGACCGCUAAUGGUGGUAUCUGCUGUGUUUGAGAUUUGACUUGCUGAAUGAGCCAAGCAUAGUACCUGAAAUAAAUCUAACUCAGUCAGGUGAUACUGGCUUUAUAAAACUAUUUGGCAUCCACAGCUCAUGAGAAUUAUUCACAAAUAUCCCCUCUUGCCCCUGGGUUUUGUGAUUGGGACCUGAGUGUACUGGAUCUGACAUGUGGGCCCAUCCUCUGGGCCCUGGAGAUCAAUCCCUGAACAUAGCAGGGAGAAGCAUACUGUUCCCAAGUCCCUCCUGGGAUGCUCAAGCUGGAUCAAUGUCCCUCCACUUCGGGCUGUGUCCCACUCUGCUGAAGUCACCAGCAACAGUACCAGGAAUGGCCAGCAGGCAGUGCACUCACAGUCCAAGCACCUCUUUUUUCUGCUACAGGACCUCCAGAGAAAAGGACCCACUGCACUCAUGUGGCUCCUGCAGUCUGGGCCAGAGUUGAGAAAUGUCUGUGUUGGGAUGAGGAAGAUGGAACCAGAAUGUUUGGGGCACCCUGGUGAAGACAAAGGCAGCAGUCUCAUUGUAGGUGGGGCAGCGUAGAGGUUCAGUUGUCUGCUGGGCCCUGCUGACAACAGAAGUAUGUGAAAUGGAAGUGCUGAUUAGCCUGGACUCUACUAUCUUGUCAGUGUGUUGAUUCUGGCUUGCAGUGGUGGCUCAGCUUCCUACUUGUCUCCAGUGACUCCAGGGCAGGGGAUGGAGAACAGCUUCCUACUUUGUCUGUUGCUACCACUCCAAAGUGAAAAUCAUAAUGCCUACUUUUGCCAGAUGGGAAAUAGAAGAUGAGCUCCUUUGUUGGUGCCAGUAAUACCAGCAGGCAAGAACAUCAAAGCAUGGCUGCUUCUGUUCAGUGGAUAUGAAGUAGAUAAUCUGCUCCCCGAUGGACUCCACUGGAACCAUCCUGGUAUUUCAUUGCAGUUGGUGGUCCUGAUUGGAGGCUUCCGCAGCACUCUCUCCAGAGCAUAUGGGAAGAAAUUGAAGACCCAAGGAACUCAUCAUUGUGUUAUUCCCCACACCACAGGAUUUUUGCGCUUUCAAUGUGGUGAAGUUGAACACUAUAAGUGAGAGAUUGAAGAAAGCACAAGAAAGGCACAAGCAGCAUCUGAAGAAUACAGAGAACUUCACUUAGAAGUCAGAUGGAACUCAGAAUGAAAGAUCUUGAAUCUGAAGUCUCCAACAGGAAAACUUCUUGAGAAGUCUUUCAUUAUAUUGAAUUGGGAAAAUACAGGCACCUCUAUCAAUUAGACUUGGAAGCUAGAAAAUACUUGUCAAACAAAAUUAAAAAUCUUCACAGAACUACUGAGAGACUAGCAGCAUUCAGUAGCAAUCUUUUUGUGGAGACAGGAGACCAGAACUUUCUUUACCACUCAUGGACAGUCCUAUAGUCACCUCCUGGUGGCAAUCUUAAUAAUGGUUUAGGUCUUCACAGAGAAUUUACUUCAAAAGAAUACUCAACGUUCUCUUUUUCCUGCCCAUGGACUUCACAUACCGGCAUGAAGAACAACUUGAGUGAGAUGCUGCUGGAUAUUCUCCUGUGGAAGAGCUUCUUCUCUAGAUUCACUGAUGAGUCAAAUCUAAAUGAAGACAUUCUUUAGAAAGCAUCAUGGAAAUAUGUGCCAAUUUUUUUUUAAAAAAAAUAUACAAUGUGAAAGACUUUUAAGUAGGUCUUGCAAAUGAAAGCCAGUUUUACAUCCUCAGACUGCCAAAAUGUUAGCUGUUUAUAAUUUUAAUUUUAAGCACUGAUUUAUAUGACUCUUUCUUCUUGGAGAAAUAAAAUUUGCCUAAGGCU
Molecule: long non-coding RNA, 2387 nt
Organism: Lemur catta (Ring-tailed lemur)
Lineage: Eukaryota; Metazoa; Chordata; Mammalia; Primates; Lemuridae
Exons: 14
Source: RefSeq, a predicted model, not a curated record